UAGGGAAUUUUCCGCAAUGGGCGAAAGCCUGACGGAGCAACGCCGCGUGAGGGAUGAAGGUUUUCGGAUCGUAAACCUCUGUCUUUAGGGACGAUAAUGACGGUACCUAAGGAGGAAGCCACGGCUAACUACGUGCCAGCAGCCGCGGUAAUACGUAGGUGGCAAGCGUUGUCCGGAAUUACUGGGCGUAAAGGGCGUGUAGGCGGCCUUUUAAGUCAGACGUGAAAACCCUGGGCUUAACCCAGGAACUGCGUUUGAAACUGGAGGGCUUGAGGACCGGAGAGGGUAGUGGAAUUCCCAGUGUAGCGGUGAAAUGCGUAGAUAUUGGGAGGAACACCAGUGGCGAAGGCGACUGCCUGGACGGCACCUGACGCUGAGGCGCGAAAGCUAGGGGAGCAAACG
This 402-nucleotide ribosomal RNA is filed under the name uncultured Bacillota bacterium. Its description in RNAcentral is "uncultured Firmicutes bacterium partial 16S ribosomal RNA". It matches the Rfam family "Bacterial small subunit ribosomal RNA", at positions 355 to 774 of the family's 1533-position model. Lineage: Bacteria; Bacillati; Bacillota. The record is from RNAcentral.